Molecule: ribosomal RNA, 462 nt
Filed under: uncultured bacterium
Lineage: Bacteria
Description: partial 16S ribosomal RNA
Rfam family: Bacterial small subunit ribosomal RNA
Source: RNAcentral
GACGAACGCUGGCGGAGGGCGGAACACAUGCAAGUCGAACGGAAAGGCCCUUCGGGGUACUCGAGUGGCGAACGGGUGAGUAACACGUGGGUGAUCUGCCCUGCACUUUGGGAUAAGCCUGGGAAACUGGGUCUAAUACCGAAUAGGACCGCGCGCUUCAUGGUGUGUGGUGGAAAGCUUUUGCGGUGUGGGAUGGGCCCGCGGCCUAUCAGCUUGUUGGUGGGGUAAUGGCCUACCAAGGCGACGACGGGUAGCCGGCCUGAGAGGGUGACCGGCCACACUGGGACUGAGAUACGGCCCAGACUCCUACGGGAGGCAGCAGUGGGGAAUAUUGCACAAUGGGCGCAAGCCUGAUGCAGCGACGCCGCGUGAGGGAUGACGGCCUUCGGGUUGUAAACCUCUUUCACCAGGGACGAAGCGCAAGUGACGGUACCUGGAGAAGAAGCACCGGCAAACUACGUG